UACGUAGGGAGCGAGCGUUAUCCGGAAUCAUUGGGUGUAAAGGGUGCGUAGACGGGAAAGCAAGUUAGUUGUGAAAUCCCUCGGCUUAACUGAGGAACUGCAACUAAAACUACUUUUCUUGAGUGCAGGAGAGGUAAGUGGAAUUCCUAGUGUAGCGGUGAAAUGCGUAGAUAUUAGGAGGAACACCAGUGGCGAAGGCGACUUACUGGACUGUAACUGACGUUGAGGCACGAAAGUGUGGGGAGCAAACAGG
Molecule: ribosomal RNA, 253 nt
Filed under: uncultured bacterium
Lineage: Bacteria
Description: partial 16S ribosomal RNA
Rfam family: Bacterial small subunit ribosomal RNA
Source: RNAcentral